Molecule: ribosomal RNA, 240 nt
Filed under: uncultured bacterium
Lineage: Bacteria
Description: partial 16S ribosomal RNA
Rfam family: Bacterial small subunit ribosomal RNA
Source: RNAcentral
CGCGGCGAACGGGUGAGUAACACGUGGGCAACCUGCCCCUAGCACUGGGAUAACCCCGGGAAACCGGGGCUAAUACCGGAUACGACCUCGAGAGGCAUCUCUCGUGGUGGAAAGGUUUUUCUGGCUAGGGAUGGGCCCGCGGCCUAUCAGCUUGUUGGUGAGGUAACGGCUCACCAAGGCGACGACGGGUAGCUGGUCUGAGAGGACGACCAGCCACACUGGGACUGAGAUACGGCCCAG